Molecule: long non-coding RNA, 2054 nt
Filed under: Heterocephalus glaber (naked mole-rat)
Lineage: Eukaryota; Metazoa; Chordata; Mammalia; Rodentia; Bathyergidae
Description: lncRNA (ENSHGLG00100039691.1)
Source: RNAcentral
CUCCAGGGGACAGGGAUCACAAUUUGUGGACUUUCCUUGACCUGACAUUCACACCUCUACAGGGCUAUACUAAUAUGUCCUGUGACAGUAACUCAAAGUGUGACAUGGUCCUCUUGAGGGUGCGACUCAUGAAUCCCCACUCUUCCCACCCGAGAGACACAUCUGGCCCUGCAGAAGGAACCAAGGAUAGACAAGGAGGUCUAUUUCUGGGAUGGCUCAGUGGAUAAUCCGGGAUAAUUCAUCUAUCUCAAAUCCUCUAACCCAGUCACACCUUCGAAGUUUCCUUGGCCACGGGGUGCAGCACAUAUACAGAUUCCGAUAGGGAAGUGGGCACUUUGGAGGGGCUGCUGCUCCUCCCACCAGUUUUCUGUCUCCCAGGGAUCUCUGUCCUUAUUGCUGGAUGUCUCUGUCUGGUUCCUGUGUUAUUUUGUCAGUAACACCUGUCUGGCCCUUGCUUCUGUUUCUUGAGUGAUACGGGAGAUGCUUCCUGAAGAAUCCAAGUAGAAGAUCAAGGUGGUAAUAGCUGUGAUCCUAGAAGAUGACCUUGUCCAUGCUUGAAGGAUGGAUCAAGAGGGACGAGUCUGCAAGGAAGGGUCUGUGUUGGAAAUCUAGUAUGUUAGUGCGAAAGGAGGAAGAAGAGGCCCUAAACAAGGACAGGGCUGGAGAAGAGGGGAAUCAUGGAAAUUAGAAGGUGGCUCAUCCACCACCACAGAAAGUGCACGCCUGGUGUAGACUCCACAGUAACAGCAGGUGGAGUCCGGGGCAGGUUGUUCUACCUGGACGUCAGGCUGCAAUCACACAGCCAAGAGCAGCAGGACAAUAGAUGUUUGGGCCCGAGGCGUCACUUGCCCUCCAUGUCAUGCAGUUCUGGGGGAGCAGCCUGGACAAGUUGAGUGCCACCUUCUUAACCCUCCUUGGACUCCAGAGAAAGCUGCAUGUCACCCCCAGCUGGACUACAGAGAGGAACUUCUUGCAAACUGGAGUGAAAUACCACGUCUAGGACAGAGACACUGAUACAACCUAGUGACCUUAGCCCCAGUUCAUCAACCCCUGUGUGAGUCUCUGCACAAUUUUAUCACACAUAUAGGCUCCUGUGUGCACCUCAUUGACUCUUCACAAUCACACCAAUCUUUUCCUCCCCUCCCUCAUCCACAUCUUUGUCCACCUUCCUCCCAUCCCUAGCUUCUGGCAGCUACUGACCUGCUCUCUAGUUCCAUCAUUUUGUCAUUAUGAAAUGUUAUAUAAGUGGAACACACAGUGUAGAAUACUGUACCAGGACUGGUGUUUUCAUUCCACACAAUUCUCUGGGAAUUCAUUAAGGCUAUAUGGGUGUCAACAGUUAAUUUUUGUUUAUUGCUCAGUAGUAGUUCAUGCUAUGGAUGUACUACAGUUUGUUUAAUAUUUAACACUUAAAGGACAUCUGGCUCGACUUUUGUAACGGGGUAUUAUGACUAUAGCUGCUUUGAACAUUUGUAUACAAGCUUUUUUUUCUUGAUGAACCCAAAUUUCAUUUUUCUGGAAAAAUAACUCAAAAUUUAAUGUCUAGGUCAUAUAGUGAGUCCAUAUUUAGUUUUCUAAUAAAUUGACAAAACAUCUUAGAGAGUUUUAAAUUUUUUUUUUUGAGUUUUGUUAUAGACCAGACAUUUGUCUUCUGCUAAAUGGCACUUGUUGAAAUCCUAGCUGCCAGUGUGAUGGUGUCAGGAGAUGAAACUUCAGGAGGUCAUUAGGUCAUGGAGAUGGGGCCCUCAGCAAAGGGACUGGUGCCCUCCCAAGAAGAGACAGGAGAGGUGAUUUUCCUCCUAGCUUUGAGGGGUACAUUGGGAAGAGCAUCACCUAUGAGCCAGGACAACACAGUCCUCACACAACACAUGUGCUCUCCUUGAUCCUGGACCAGAACUGAGGAAUAAACAUAUUUUAAAGCCACCAGCCUCUCCUAUAUCUGUGACGCUGGCCAGAACUGACAAAGAUAGGUUCAUAAACACCGAGCUCUCUUUCCUGUUUGGAAUAGCUCUGUAACAAGUCAUCAUAACAUGGAAUAUUGGAGCUAAUUCUAC